AAGUUCAAUACGGAAGAAAACAUGAAGAGUUUCAUCAUGCUUUUUCUUUUUGCUGUGACAAUUUUUUUCACUUUGUUUGACCAUUCACUAGGUGAUGAUCCUAAAUUUUGUCCAGGAACUUUCACAGUUAAUGACGUAUGUGCUAAUAUUAGUUGUGGAUAUCAAGCUGUAUUUCAUUGGCCAGCAAGUAAAAUGCCUCAUAGUUGUGUUUGUACUGCUUCGGGAAGCAAUCAAAGUCUUUGUACUUGUCAAAUUGUUUGUGAUGCAAAAUAAUGUAAUAAAAGUGCUUAUUAUUGAUGUUGA
Molecule: long non-coding RNA, 303 nt
Organism: Solanum lycopersicum (tomato)
Lineage: Eukaryota; Viridiplantae; Streptophyta; Magnoliopsida; Solanales; Solanaceae
Source: RefSeq, a predicted model, not a curated record